This 73-nucleotide transfer RNA is filed under the name Candidatus Filomicrobium marinum. It matches the Rfam family "tRNA". From Rfam's summary of the family: Transfer RNA (tRNA) molecules are approximately 80 nucleotides in length. Their secondary structure includes four short double-helical elements and three loops (D, anti-codon, and T loops). Lineage: Bacteria; Pseudomonadati; Pseudomonadota; Alphaproteobacteria; Hyphomicrobiales; Hyphomicrobiaceae. The record is from Rfam by way of RNAcentral.
GGACCGGUAGCUCAGUUGGUAGAGCAUCCGACUCUUAAUCGGAUUGUCGGGAGUUCGAACCUCCCCCGGUCUA